CCUGCCGCCUUGGUAGCGCCGGUCCGCACUCGGCCUGACCCGGGACGUCACGGCGCCUGCCUGUGUUCCCAAUGAUAACUUGGCAGGAGCAGGGGGAAGCGGCCGGGUUUUUCCUGGGCUCGUUACCGGGUUUUUUUUCCUCAACGACAAAAACCCCACAACAGGUAUGUAUUUAUGAUCAGUGUCAAGAUAGCAAUGCCAUGUGUACUCCACUAAAAAUAAACAAUUUAACCAGUAUAUACUCUAAAUACCUUUUCAACUGCCUUAAAGUGGACACUAGGUUCUUUACUAGAGAAAAUAUCAGCUUCUCCAUUGUAAAUAUUUUGAGUGGGUUGUUAUAAACAAAAGGAAAACAAAUCCCAAAGCUCUCCUCUGUUCUCUUAAACACCCAUGAUCCAUUUGACUGCAUUCCAUGCAUAGCAAUAGCACCCAUUCUAACUCAGCAAUAUUAAUUCCUGAACGAGGAACCUUACAGACUCACACAGAAGGUUUUGCAGAACAACUGGGGCUUCAGGAGGCACCUUAAGAACAGAGAGCUAAUUUAUAGUUUGCUUACAGAGAUCUGAAUAAGGAAGAACCUAUUCAGAUCUGAAACCCAGGCAGCUACUCUGCUCUAAAUCAGAUGUACUGCUGGUAUUCAGGAAAGUUACUGAAUUGAUAAUGAGUACAUACAGCCUUUUUUGUGACUUUGUGCCAAGCACAAAUUUUGUCAAAUGUCAUUCAGUGUCAUCCCAUGCCACAGACCUCCAUGGAAGAGAGACAACUCUCUGACAUGAAUUCAAACUCCUAAACAACUGUUUGUUGAAUUUUUUUUCAGCAUUUUUUCCUUUUUGUUUUUUUUUUUUUUGGGGGGGUGGGGGGAAAUGAAAAACCAAAAACUAUAUGCGAAGGAAAUUAUGUAAGCUCAGCUGGUAAAACAGCAAAUUUUUUUGAAAGAAGCAUAAAUAUAAAAGCCACAUCCUAUAAAUUGCUGACCUUUAAACAUUGACAUGGAAAAAGCCAUUAAAAUCCAUGAAGAUAACAAAACCCAACUCCUACUUCAUGUGAAAGACUGUAAUGUGGCAAGGCAGAGGGUACCCAGAGGUCUUCCCUUACACCGAUUAAGUAGACCCAGCACUCUGUGUAAUAGGCAGUGAUGCCAACAUAGGAUUCUCAUUCCUAAGCUCAGUUUAUGAUUACGAGCAUGGCUUUGCUCUCCUGUGCUUGCCUUGGUUGAGGAUAUAGAGAAUAGAUUACAUAUGCAACUCCAUCAUGCCAAACCUGCUUAUUUAAGUAAGAAACGUUCUUGCAAGAAAAUAAACAUUGACUAAAGAAGGUAGAACAUGGAUAAACAGAAAACAAAAAAUCAAGUUCUUGGAUUCUGUGGCGCUGGGUAACUUUGACCAUGGUCCUGAUAUUAAGGCUCAAACUAAACUCAGAUUGAAGGCAGUUAGAGUUUUAGACCAUAUAUGAGCGUGCCUGAUCUGAAAUCCCUCUUGCAUAAAAAAUUAGAUUAGAUUAGUUUAUGCUCUGGUUCCGCUGAGAGAUCUCUGAGUGUUGGAGCCACCUGCACUGGUGGGGUGUCCUGGCUCUCCCCCACUUCUGUCAUUACAGGGGAAUUACUCAUCUAGUGAGGAAGGUGUCUAAGUCUCCGAGAUGAUGGCACAACACACGCAAGAGGAAAUCGCAGUGCACAGCCAAUGCAAUGAAAUGAAGGAUCCUCUAUGGGAGUUGGUUAGUGGUGCCAAUGUUUGAUAUUUGUCGUAACAACCACUGACUGUUUUGUUUUUUGUUCUAACAAUGUGAAUUAUGCAUUAAACAUUAAUACAAGUGAGUGUA
Pipra filicauda (Wire-tailed manakin) is the source of this 1818-nucleotide RNA transcript. RefSeq lists it as uncharacterized. Lineage: Eukaryota; Metazoa; Chordata; Aves; Passeriformes; Pipridae. The transcript is spliced from 2 exons. The record is from RefSeq and is a predicted model, not a curated record.